GUGAAGUGGUAGUGAAACAACAAACCAUGAUAGAGCUGAUUCCUGAGUUUGUAGAAUAAGAUGAAAGAUUAAACAUCAGAUAAAAGUUCCACAGGGUUCAGGAGACUUCGGGAAUCUUACAACCAUGACUGAAGGGGAGGCAAACAAGUCCUUCACAUGGCAGCAACAAAGAGAAGUGCCAAGCAAAAGGCGGAAAAGCACCUUGUGAAAUCAUCGGAUCUCUUGAGAACCUACUUACUUACUCUCAAGAGAGCAGCAUCACGGUCCAACACCACAUGGAAGUUACCAAGACUUGGUGCUUGCACCAUCUGAAGCCAUGGCCUGAGCUGUACAUUUGCCCCCAUUAGUGAUGGCUGGAGCAGCUGGAAUGCAGAGCAGCAAGUUCCAAGGCUGCACACAGCAGCAGGGACCUGGACCCAGCCCAGAUGGCUGACUAGAAGCAUUUCAAGCAUUCCUCCUCCACUUGGCAGAACCAAAACAGUAUGUGGACAAUCACACUUUGAAUACAUUACUCAGGAAGGAACACAGGAGUUCAACAGAAAGUUGAAGGGAAGUCUUCAAAUCUGGGAGGAAAAAAGAAAAUGGGCAGCCUGAGUGGCCAAGAUCAGCCAAGACCUGGGUGCAAAUCCUCAAUAUGG
Molecule: non-coding RNA, 638 nt
Organism: Macaca mulatta (Rhesus monkey)
Lineage: Eukaryota; Metazoa; Chordata; Mammalia; Primates; Cercopithecidae
Source: RefSeq, a predicted model, not a curated record